AAGUCGUAACAAGGUUUCCGUAGGUGAACCUGCGGAAGGAUCAUUAAAGAGGGAUAAACAAUGCACAGUGCACGAGUAUGGUUACACGAGGAAAAUUUUAACAGAAUUAACAAGAAAAAAAGAACAACUUUUAGCAACGGAUCUCUAGGCUCUC
RNAcentral lists this unclassified non-coding RNA (154 nucleotides) under fungal sp. RNAcentral describes it as "partial internal transcribed spacer region". The stretch from base 1 to 46 matches the Rfam family "Eukaryotic small subunit ribosomal RNA", at positions 1786 to 1831 of the family's 1831-position model. Lineage: Eukaryota; Fungi. The record is from RNAcentral.